UUCUUAGCUUGAAAGAGGCCUUGAAGGAGUGAAAGAGAGAAGAUUGAGUAGCCGGGUGAAUAUCCUUUGCUAUUGAAUUUGAAGAAGCUGUGGCUCUUUCAAUAAGAUCUUGGACUGGGAUACUAAGCAAGAGAGCCAAAGGGGCGAAACGAGAUAUAGAUGACUGGAUCAGUCUGGCUACAAGACCUUGAAAAGGGAAUAAGCC
Molecule: long non-coding RNA, 205 nt
Filed under: Trifolium pratense (red clover)
Lineage: Eukaryota; Viridiplantae; Streptophyta; Magnoliopsida; Fabales; Fabaceae
Description: long non-coding RNA (TPRA_LNC012189)
Source: RNAcentral